This 82-nucleotide microRNA precursor is filed under the name Colobus angolensis palliatus. RNAcentral describes it as "miRNA (ENSCANG00000015026.1)". Lineage: Eukaryota; Metazoa; Chordata; Mammalia; Primates; Cercopithecidae. The record is from RNAcentral.
UUAGGUUGGUGCAAAAGUAAUUGUGGUUUUUGCCAUUAUUGUCAACUGCAAAAACCACAAUAACUUUUGCACCAACCUAAUA